RNAcentral lists this ribosomal RNA (479 nucleotides) under uncultured bacterium. Its description in RNAcentral is "bacterial SSU rRNA". It matches the Rfam family "Bacterial small subunit ribosomal RNA", at positions 1 to 509 of the family's 1533-position model. The record is from RNAcentral.
CAACAGCUAGAGUUUGAUCCUGGCUCAGGAUGAACGCUGGCGGCGUGCUUAACACAUGCAAGUCGAAUGUAGUUUACUACAUGGCGGACGGGUGAGUAACGCGUGAGCAAUCUGCCCAUAUCUGGGGGAUAACAGUUGGAAACGACUGAUAAUACCGCAUAAUAUUGUUUGAAGGCAUCUUCUUACAAUCAAAGAUUUAUCGGAUAUGGAUGAGCUCGCGUCUGAUUAGCUAGUUGGUGAGGUAACGGCCCACCAAGGCGACGAUCAGUAGCCGACCUGAGAGGGUGAUCGGCCACAUUGGAACUGAGACACGGUCCAAACUCCUACGGGAGGCAGCAGUGGGGAAUAUUGGGCAAUGGAGGAAACUCUGACCCAGCAACGCCGCGUGAAUGAUGAAGGUCUUCGGAUUGUAAAGUUCUUUUCUAAGGGACGAAGAAAGUGACGGUACCUUAGGAAUAAGCCUCGGCUAACUACGUGCC